RNAcentral lists this ribosomal RNA (497 nucleotides) under uncultured bacterium. RNAcentral's name for it is "partial 16S ribosomal RNA". It matches the Rfam family "Bacterial small subunit ribosomal RNA", at positions 28 to 507 of the family's 1533-position model. The record is from RNAcentral.
GAUGAACGCUGGCGGCGUGCCUAAUACAUGCAAGUCGAGCGAACAGACGAGGAGCUUGCUCCUCUGACGUUAGCGGCGGACGGGUGAGUAACACGUGGAUAACCUACCUAUAAGACUGGGAUAACUUCGGGAAACCGGAGCUAAUACCGGAUAAUAUAUUGAACCGCAUGGUUCAAUAGUGAAAGACGGUUUUGCUGUCACUUAUAGAUGGAUCCGCGCCGCAUUAGCUAGUUGGUAAGGUAACGGCUUACCAAGGCAACGAUGCGUAGCCGACCUGAGAGGGUGAUAGGCAACACUGGAACUGGGACACGGUCCAGACUCCUACGGGAGGCAGCAGUAGGGAAUCUUCCGCAAUGGGCGAAAGCCUGACGGAGCAACGCCGCGUGAGUGAUGAAGGUCUUCGGAUCGUAAAACUCUGUUAUUAGGGAAGAACAAAUGUGUAAGUAACUAUGCACGUCUUGACGGUACCUAAUCAGAAAGCCACGGCUAACUACGUG